UAAUUUUUGUUUGAAAUUUUUGAGAAAUGAAUGUCAAAUUACCAUAGAGAACUAAACCUACGAGUUGGAUCAAGGGACAAUCUCAGAUAAACAAGUUUUUCUGGAGUGUAUACUUCCAAAAGGCAACAAAGAUAAGCAAAGGUUUUAUGUAGCAGGACGAAAAUUGACCCUCGAGUGCAAAGGCAGAAAGGAGCUUGACUGCAGAUCUACCCAUCAUCCGAUCCGUCGAGCAGGGAUGAACUCAUGAAAGUCGGUCUUGGUGAUCCAUUGUUACCGAGUGAAAGAGUCGUCGUUACUAUAAAAAUGACAAGUUGAUCAUCCCCAAGAGCUCACAUCGACGGAAGGAUUAGGCACUUCGAUGUUGAUUCCUUGCAACCUAAGAAUGUAGUGUGUUUCAAGGUUUGUAUUAUUUACCUAUUAUAGCGAUAGGUGAGAUGGGUUCAGAACGUCAAACUUUC
This 458-nucleotide non-coding RNA is filed under the name Solanum tuberosum (potato). RNAcentral describes it as "Bacterial large subunit ribosomal RNA". It matches the Rfam family "Bacterial large subunit ribosomal RNA", at positions 2162 to 2632 of the family's 2925-position model. The record is from Rfam by way of RNAcentral. Lineage: Eukaryota; Viridiplantae; Streptophyta; Magnoliopsida; Solanales; Solanaceae.